Molecule: ribosomal RNA, 747 nt
Filed under: Ixodes sp. MI13-006
Lineage: Eukaryota; Metazoa; Arthropoda; Arachnida; Ixodida; Ixodidae
Description: eukaryotic LSU rRNA
Source: RNAcentral
CUACCUCGUUUUGACUGUGUCGGAUCGUGGGCAGCACGCAGUACGAUACUUUCUUGCGUUGCGUUUUUUGAUCGUUCUUUUCGGAGCAAGUGCAGAGGUAGCAAAUGCACGAGCGGUGCGAUGCACGCGUGCGCUGACGAACGUCCUCCUACCAGUUUUUAUCGAACACUGCAUAGAAAAACGAAACUCGAUGGAUACCGUUUGUGGAAAUCCCGAAAGCAAGUCUUUCGCACGUUGAACGGCGCUUUUAUUGACGUCGGUGCGUUGGAUACGGAGAUUGAAACGGUGUUCUUUCGAUCGAUUCUGUUUUUCUUUUGGCGUGGAUGUUGUUCGAAAGAAAAGCUUGGGACAGAGUGACGGGAGUUCGUUUGGCGCGCAUGAAACGCGGCGUCCGCAUUGAAUCUUGUGGCGUUGAUUUGCACGCCUCUUGCUCGAGUUCGAGAGAACGAAAUAGAAACGUUUCUGGGAGGAAAGUUUUUGCGUCGUAGCCUUCCGUCAGUCUAAGACCUUCGCGUCCCCGAUGAAUACUGGACCCAUCCAGUAGGGGAAUGCCGUUGGAUUGCGCGCUUUCUUUUUUGUCGAAUCGAAAGCGAUGCAAAGCGUGUGUACAGCUCAUUUUUGCCAUCCUUUUUUUCUCAAGGGUAAGGAGGCGAAAGUCCGUUUGGAAAACGCAACAAAAAGACAUGAUAUUGUCGACCUCACAUCAGGCGAGACAACCCGCUGAAUUUAAGCAUAUCACUAAGCGGA